AACUAUAUCGUUGAAGAAUCUAAGCAGGUAAGAAAGCGACGCAACCGCAACCAGAGGAGGCAGAUCAUCAAGGACGGAUGGGCAGACUAUGAAGGAGAAGUUGUAAGGUCAGAAGACGUAGAGUUUAAACAGAAUUAUCCAGAGGAGAUUGAAGCACCGAGUCAGGUAUGGAAAAUGAAGAUAACUAUACAAGAAGAGGAGGCGCUGCCAGAAGUACCGACUAUGCCACCCAACGAACCUCAGGACAAUUGAGAAAAUGGAGAGUCCCGUUCGGAGGACUUAAAAACACCGAACGCCUUGCCAAGAGGUAAACUUGGUAGUUAUCCUUUCCCUUUCAAUUAUUUCAAAUAGUUUAUUUAGGUAAUCAUGUUCAUGCUAUCCUAAAAAGAAAAUAAAAAUGUGAAAAACAGUAAGCCCCAUGUGAGUAUGCGAGUGGCAUGAAACCCAUAAGUACAUUCACUGUGGUGGCAUAAAAAUAAAAUAAAUAUUUCUUUUCCGCUUUAUAAAAUAAAAAUAUAAAAACAGGGAGUAAUAAUUAUUAAGGAGUCUCAACAUGAUAAAGGCUAGAUAUUUAUGCUAACACUUAACCAGUUCCACAAGCUUUGUUGUCUAUUUGAACUCCACAGAAUUUAAGAAUCAAGAAGACUGGCAGACGGAGGACAUUCUAAUCGCUGUCACAAUGUUGCUGACUUUCAAAUACACCUCUACCACCUGCUAGCUACAUCAAGAGAAAUUACGUCAAAAUUCAGCUUGGGGGAGAGCACCCCCAUUUAUCUCGAUAAGUAUUUCUAUCUCUCUUUAUACUUAUAUUAUUUUAGAAUAUAAAUAUACAUAACUAUGGAAAACCAAAUAAAGAGGUUGUGCUUAUUUAUAUAUGUCUUUUACUUAGUGUGUUUAAUAAAUAAAUAAAGUGGCUAUGCUAAUCUGUAUCUAAAUAAAACUCAAGCAUAGAUAUGAUGAAUAGUUGCUCUGCC
RNAcentral lists this long non-coding RNA (974 nucleotides) under Sorghum bicolor (sorghum). RNAcentral describes it as "long non-coding RNA (SBIC_LNC006422)". The record is from RNAcentral. Lineage: Eukaryota; Viridiplantae; Streptophyta; Magnoliopsida; Poales; Poaceae.